UACGAGGGGGGCAAGCGUUGUUCGGAAUUAUUGGGCGUAAAGGGUGCGUAGGCGGUCUGACAAGUCUGAUGUGAAAUCUAUGGGCUCAACCCAUAGUCUGCAUCGGAAACUGUCGGGCUGGAGUGUGGGAGAGGUGAGUGGAAUUUCCGGUGUAGCGGUGAAAUGCGCAGAUAUCAGGAGGAACACCGAUGGCGAAGGCAGGUCUCUGGGCAUUAACUGACGCUGAGGAGCGAAAGCAUGGGGAGCGAACAGG
Molecule: ribosomal RNA, 253 nt
Filed under: uncultured bacterium
Lineage: Bacteria
Description: partial 16S ribosomal RNA
Rfam family: Bacterial small subunit ribosomal RNA
Source: RNAcentral